Lytechinus pictus (painted urchin) is the source of this 2192-nucleotide RNA transcript. It is a transcript of the gene named acylphosphatase-2-like, with no coding region annotated. The record is from RefSeq and is a predicted model, not a curated record. The transcript has 5 exons. Lineage: Eukaryota; Metazoa; Echinodermata; Echinoidea; Temnopleuroida; Toxopneustidae.
GAGUUGAUAAAGUUAUAUAUUUUUGUAAUCUUUAUUUUUAGACGUUUGUGUGUAUCUGGAUAUAUUCUUAUUUUCAACCAAAUUAUUUUUAUUAUCAAAAGAUUUUAAUUUUGUUUAAAUUUCUUCAAAACCUAAAUGAUGGCAUUAUUAAGUAGUGUGAACGAGGAAAGAAAGAUCAUUAAAUUGUAAACAUGGCGACAUCGAGAGCGUCUGCUUCAACAAAACAGAUAAUUUGGAGGUCAAUAGAUUUCGAAAUAUUUGGAAAAGUUCAAGGUGUCUUCUUUAGAAGGGAUACGAGAAGGAAAGCAAGGGAAUUAUUUCUGACAGGAUGGGUACAAAACACCAACAAAGGGACAGUUAUUGGGCAAGCUCAGGGACAAGAAGAUAAAAUCAAACUGAUGAAAUCUUGGUUGAAAACUAAAGGAAGCCCGAAGUCAAGGAUUGACAAGGCAGUAUUCUCGAAUGAGAAAAAUGUUGAUGAGCUAACUUUUAAAUCAUUUGAUAUUAUGAGGUAGCAGGCUUGCAAAUAGCUGAUUUACUGGAGUUGUAUUCAUGAUUAUUGGGCAAUGUGUCGUAAUAUUUAUUUUAUUUUCUUUACAAGUCCGCAGUGAUAAAUAUGCAUGUACCUUGUACAGAGUGCUUAUAAAUGUAAUUUAAUCAGAUUGAUGGCAGCUAUAAUCUGAAUUGUAUCCUGUGUUUCAAGAUAAAGGACACUAAUAUUCACUUGUUUCAAGUAGAAAAGUUUGGUUCAAAGUGUUUAUUUUAAGAUUUACAAAGUGUUUUGAAUUGGUAUGUAUAUAAUGGCCAUUAUUGUAAUACAUUUCUUGCUGUUGCUUCAAAUAGAUGUAUCAUUUCCUAUAACAAUCAUAAAAUCUAAGGGAUGCAAAGUUUCAGGAAAAGUACUAAAAUAUAUUUCAGCAUGAUCACUCAAUCACAGACUGAAAUGAUAGCCCAUUUGUUCUCUGGAUUUCAAACAUUAUACCUGCAAUAAGGCGAGAAAAAAAAUAAUGCAUGACCGAAAAUAGUAUUGUGAAAUAAAAAAACAAGAUUGAAAAACUCCUUCCUUUUGUCCCCAAAGAUGUUGACACCAAUCAUCAAAAAUUCAGUUUCUAUCAAGUCUAUUUGAAGCUUGAGAUGUGGCUGAUUCAUAGAUGCCAACAUCUCCAGAUUAUUCUUGCCCUCCAAGGCUGUGACAAUUAACUGGCAUCCCUAAAUUUCACAAUGAAAGCAUGAAAUAGAACACCAGGAAAAUAAAAAUUCUGUAAACAAGAUUGAGUGUUUUAGGAGAUAUACAGUCAAAAUUCUGUACAAAUUUAUUUAUUGACAUUCUCUGAGAACUAUACUUCAUAUUUAUAGAAGAAAUGAAACAUGGAUACUGGUUAAAAAGAAACAUAUUCCACCUUGAUACUGUGAAUGAUUUUCUUUUUUUUAUGCAAAAAAAGAAUGCAAGGGACACUGCACCGUAAUUGGAAACACAAAUAUUGAUGCAUUUUUAUGAAGUAGCAUUGCAAUCAGUAUUACAAGCUUAACAGAAUAUAUUAAUUACUGUAAAUGCAGUUGAUUGGAAAUCACCUAAAUCCAUUGUAGUUGGGAAAAGACAACCUUUGUGUUUUGAAACAUUUGUUCAUCCUUCUGAAAGUCCCUUUCCUUGGUAUUUCAUGUCAGAAUACACAUUAUAUGUUGACCUUUUAAAAAAUCCAUAAUGUCAUGAGGCUUCGUUAAAACAGUAUUACACUAUUGUUAACUUACAUAUUGUACAAUAGUGGUUUUGUGUACAUUAAAUUUUAAUGGUAACUGAUUUCUUUGCAUUGCAUUAUAGGCCUAGUACUUGUGUAACACUGAAAUGGUAUUUCGUGAUUUUUUUAGUUACAAUAUAUAAGCUGUGUUUCUUUUGUUAUUGUAAUAAAUAAAUCUGUAUAUACUUGCAAAUUCUUAAGGUAUUCUACUGAUUCAUUCAGAGUCUUUGUAUUAAGUUGUAAUGACAAGUGGGUCAAAAGUGAAAUCAAACUUAAUCAUCCACAAUUGUAAUAUUUCAUGCUGCUUUCCAAGAAAAGUGAAUAAGAGGCUUUCAUAACUGAAUAGAAAUUUGAUGUGUCCGAAGGACACAGAUGCCCCCGCUUAACGCGAUCAGAAAUUCAUUCAAUAUGAUUGAACUUAAUAUCGUGCAGAAACCAAUAUGCAUACAUAAUUAA